This is a long non-coding RNA of Anopheles merus, 7061 nucleotides long. RefSeq lists it as uncharacterized. The transcript is spliced from 24 exons. NCBI's taxonomy places the organism in Eukaryota, Metazoa, Arthropoda, Insecta, Diptera, Culicidae. The record is from RefSeq and is a predicted model, not a curated record.
GUUUUCUAGACGCGCUGCAAAUGUAUCUAAUAAAACACAUUAAAUCUUGCUUAUAUUUAUUGAUAAUAAUUUCCGAUAUCCCUACGCCUCCUAAGUGGCAUUGCUAUAGGCCAAUGGGCUUUCUGCGGGAAACAGUUCAUGAGUCGCUGAGAGCGAAUGGUGUGAUAGAACGCUCAGAAGAAAAUGUGAUGGGGCCUCCAAUUGCCUCUUCUGCGCGGUGGCCCGCAGCAGAGGGAAGGGAAUUCGCAAAAACAAGACGGUCUAUACACAAAACAAAUUAAUGAUUUUCCUGUUUUGCAAGCUUUCCUCCAAACAGUAUAAAAAGGAUUUGAUCCGACUUGUAUCGGGGCACCCCAUGCUCUGGCAGACCAAUGACCCAUUCUAUAAUAAUAGAAGAAAGAUUGCCGGAGCAUGGGGGGAAAUAGCCAGGCAUCUGGCGACCACCGUGGCCAGAUGCCAGAAAGUUUCUCACCAGCUCCGGUACAAGUACCGAGCGAUCAGGGUACGUGAGCUGGCAGCGAUAGAAGAAACUGGAUAUCCCCCGACGUCUCCUAAGUGGCAUUGCUAUAGGCCAAUGAGCUUUCUGCGGGAAAUAGUUGAUGAGUCGAUGAGAGCGAAUGGUGUGAUAGAACGCUCAGAAGAAAGUGUGAUGGGGCCUCUAAUUGCCUCCUCUACGCGGUGGCCCGCAGCAGAGGGAAGGGAAUUCGCAAAAACAAGACGGUCUAUACACAAAACAAAUUAAUGAUUUUCCUGUUUUGCAAGCUUUCCUCCAAACAGUAUAAAAAGGAUUUGAUCCGACUUGUAUCGAGGCACCCCAUGCUCUGGCAGACCAAUGACCCAUUCUAUAAUAAUAGAAGAAAGAUUGCCGGAGCAUGGGGGGAAAUAGCCAGGCAUCUGGCGACCACCGUGGCCAGAUGCCAGAAAGUUUGGCACCAGCUCCGGUACAAGUACCGAGCGAUCAGGGUACGUGAGCUGGCAGCGAUAAAAGAAACAGGAUGCAAAUCCCAAUUCCCCUCCUAAGUGGCAUUGUUAUAGGCAUAUGAGUUUUCUGCGGGAAACAGUUGAUGUUUCGCUGAGAGCAAAUGGUGCGAUAGAACGCUCAGAAGAAAAUGUGAUGGGGCCUCCAAUUGCCUCUUCUACGCGGUGGCCCGCAGCAGAGGAAAGGGAAUUCGCAAAAACAAGACGGUCUAUACACAAAACAAAUUAAUGAUUUUCCUGUUUUGCAAGCUUUCCUCUAAAAAUGAAAAACGGAAACUUAUUCAACUUGUAUCGGGGCACUCCAUGCUCUGGCAGACAAAUAACAACUAUUAUAAUAAUAGGAAACAGACUGCCGGAGCAUGGGGGGAAAUAACCAGGCAUCUGGCGACCACCGUGGCCAGAUGCCAGAAAGUUUGGCACCAGCUCCGGUACAAGUACCGAGCAAUAAGGGUACGUGAGCUGGCAGCGGUCAAUAAGACAGGAUAUCCCAAUUCCCCUCCUAAGUGGCAUUGUUAUAGGCAUAUGAGUUUUCUGCGGGAAACAGUUGAUGUUUCGCUGAGAGCAAAUGGUGCGAUAGAACGCUCAGAAGAAAAUGUGAUGGGGCCUCCAAUUGCCUCUUCUACGCGGUGGCCCGCAGCAGAGGGAAGGGAAUUCGCAAAACCAUAUGCCUUCGCCUCCUAAGUGGCAUUGCUAUAGGCCAAUGAGCUUUCUGCGGGAAAUAGUUGAUGAGUCGAUGAGAGCGAAUGGUGUGAUAGAACGCUCAGAAGAAAAUGUGAUGGGGCCUCCAAUUGCCUCUUCUACGCGGUGGCCCGCAGCAGAGGGAAGGGAAUUCGCAAAAACAAGACGGUCUAUACACAAAACAAAUUAAUGAUUUUCCUGUUUUGCAAGCUUUCCUCUAAAAAUGAAAAACGGAAACUUAUUCAACUUGUAUCGGGGCACUCCAUGCUCUGGCAGACAAAUAACAACUAUUAUAAUAAUAGGAAACAGACUGCCGGAGCAUGGGGGAAAUAACCAGGCAUCUGGCGACCACCGUGGCCAGAUGCCAGAAAGUUUGGCACCAGCUCCGGUACAAGUACCGAGCGAUCAGGGUACGUGAGCUGGCAGCGGUCAAUAAGACAGGAUAUCCCCCUUCGCCUCCUAAGUGGCAUUGCUAUAGGCCAAUGAGCUUUCUGCGGGAAAUAGUUGAUGAGUCGAUGAGAGCGAAUGGUGUGAUAGAACGCUCAGAAGAAAAUGUGAUGGGGCCUCCAAUUGCCUCUUCUACGCGGUGGCCCGCAGCAGAGGGAAGGGAAUUCGCAAAAACAAGACGGUCUAUACACAAAACAAAUUAAUGAUUUUCCUGUUUUGCAAGCUUUCCUCCAAACAGUAUAAAAAGGAUUUGAUCCGACUUGUAUCGAGGCACCCCAUGCUCUGGCAGACCAAUGACCCAUUCUAUAAUAAUAGAAGAAAGAUUGCCGGAGCAUGGGGGGAAAUAGCCAGGCAUCUGGCGACCACCGUGGCCAGAUGCCAGAAAGUUUGGCACCAGCUCCGGUACAAGUACCGAGCGAUCAGGGUACGUGAGCUGGCAGCGAUAAAAGAAACAGGAUGCAAUGGCAUUGCUAUAGGCCAAUGGGCUUUCUGCGGGAAACAGUUCAUGAGUCGCUGAGAGCGAAUGGUGUGAUAGAACGCUCAGAAGAAAAUGUGAUGGGGCCUCCAAUUGCCUCUUCUGCGCGGUGGCCCGCAGCAGAGGGAAGGGAAUUCGCAAAAACAAGACGGUCUAUACACAAAACAAAUUAAUGAUUUUCCUGUUUUGCAAGCUUUCCUCCAAACAGUAUAAAAAGGAUUUGAUCCGACUUGUAUCGAGGCACCCCAUGCUCUGGCAGACCAAUGACCCAUUCUAUAAUAAUAGAAGAAAGAUUGCCGGAGCAUGGGGGGAAAUAGCCAGGCAUCUGGCGACCACCGUGGCCAGAUGCCAGAAAGUUUGGCACCAGCUCCGGUACAAGUACCGAGCGAUCAGGGUACGUGAGCUGGCAGCGAUAAAAGAAACAGGAUGCAAAUCCCAAUUCCCCUCCUAAGUGGCAUUGUUAUAGGCAUAUGAGUUUUCUGCGGGAAACAGUUGAUGUUUCGCUGAGAGCAAAUGGUGCGAUAGAACGCUCAGAAGAAAAUGUGAUGGGGCCUCCAAUUGCCUCUUCUACGCGGUGGCCCGCAGCAGAGGGAAGGGAAUUCGCAAAAACAAGACGGUCUAUACACAAAACAAAUUAAUGAUUUUCCUGUUUUGCAAGCUUUCCUCUAAAAAUGAAAAACGGAAACUUAUUCAACUUGUAUCGGGGCACUCCAUGCUCUGGCAGACAAAUAACAACUAUUAUAAUAAUAGGAAACAGACUGCCGGAGCAUGGGGGGAAAUAACCAGGCAUCUGGCGACCACCGUGGCCAGAUGCCAGAAAGUUUGGCACCAGCUCCGGUACAAGUACCGAGCAAUAAGGGUACGUGAGCUGGCAGCGGUCAAUAAGACAGGAUAUCCCAAUUCCCCUCCUAAGUGGCAUUGUUAUAGGCAUAUGAGUUUUCUGCGGGAAACAGUUGAUGUUUCGCUGAGAGCAAAUGGUGCGAUAGAACGCUCAGAAGAAAAUGUGAUGGGGCCUCCAAUUGCCUCUUCUACGCGGUGGCCCGCAGCAGAGGGAAGGGAAUUCGCAAAACCAUAUGCCUUCGCCUCCUAAGUGGCAUUGCUAUAGGCCAAUGAGCUUUCUGCGGGAAAUAGUUGAUGAGUCGAUGAGAGCGAAUGGUGUGAUAGAACGCUCAGAAGAAAAUGUGAUGGGGCCUCCAAUUGCCUCUUCUACGCGGUGGCCCGCAGCAGAGGGAAGGGAAUUCGCAAAAACAAGACGGUCUAUACACAAAACAAAUUAAUGAUUUUCCUGUUUUGCAAGCUUUCCUCUAAAAAUGAAAAACGGAAACUUAUUCAACUUGUAUCGGGGCACUCCAUGCUCUGGCAGACAAAUAACAACUAUUAUAAUAAUAGGAAACAGACUGCCGGAGCAUGGGGGGAAAUAACCAGGCAUCUGGCGACCACCGUGGCCAGAUGCCAGAAAGUUUGGCACCAGCUCCGGUACAAGUACCGAGCGAUCAGGGUACGUGAGCUGGCAGCGGUCAAUAAGACAGGAUAUCCCCCUUCGCCUCCUAAGUGGCAUUGCUAUAGGCCAAUGAGCUUUCUGCGGGAAAUAGUUGAUGAGUCGAUGAGAGCGAAUGGUGUGAUAGAACGCUCAGAAGAAAAUGUGAUGGGGCCUCCAAUUGCCUCUUCUACGCGGUGGCCCGCAGCAGAGGGAAGGGAAUUCGCAAAAACAAGACGGUCUAUACACAAAACAAAUUAAUGAUUUUCCUGUUUUGCAAGCUUUCCUCCAAACAGUAUAAAAAGGAUUUGAUCCGACUUGUAUCGAGGCACCCCAUGCUCUGGCAGACCAAUGACCCAUUCUAUAAUAAUAGAAGAAAGAUUGCCGGAGCAUGGGGGGAAAUAGCCAGGCAUCUGGCGACCACCGUGGCCAGAUGCCAGAAAGUUUGGCACCAGCUCCGGUACAAGUACCGAGCGAUCAGGGUACGUGAGCUGGCAGCGAUAAAAGAAACAGGAUGCAAAUCCCCCGACGUCUCCUAAGUGGCAUUGCUAUAGGCCAAUGAGCUUUCUGCGGGAAAUAGUUGAUGAGUCGAUGAGAGCGAAUGGUGUGAUAGAACGCUCAGAAGAAAAUGUGAUGGGGCCUCCAAUUGCCUCUUCUACGCGGUGGCCCGCAGCAGAGGGAAGGGAAUUCGCAAAAACAAAACGGUCUAUACACAAAACUUAAACUUGUUCUUCUUGUAUCGGGGCACCCCAUGCUCUGGCGGACUAAUGAUCCGUUUUAUAAUAAUAGAAGACAGACUGUCGGAGCAUGGGGCGAAAUAGCCAGGCAUCUGGCGACCACCGUGGCCAGAUGCCAGAAAGUUUGGCACCAGCUCCGGUACAAGUACCGUGCGAUCAGGGUACGUGAGCUGGCAGCGGUCAAAAGAAAUGGAUAUCCCAAUUCCCAUCCUACGUGGCACUGUUAUAUAUCCCAAUGAAUUUUCUGCGGGAAAUAGUUGAUCAGUCGCUGGGAGAAAAUGGUGUGAGAGAACGCUCAGAAGAAAAUGUAAUGGGGCCUCCAAUUGCCUCUUCUACGCGGUGGCCCGCAGCAGAGGGAAGGGAAUUCGCAAUAACAAGACGGUCUAUACACAAAACAAAUUAAUGAUUUUCCUGUUUUGCAAGCUUUCGUCUAAAAAGGAUAGACAGGAUAUGAUCCGACUUGUAUCGGAGCACCCCAUGUUCUGGCAGAGCGAUCAUAUAUCUUCUUUAACAAUAGUGUAAAAUGGGGGUACCAGGAGAGUAAUACGCAACGCUUUAGUUAUCGUAGUUCGAGUAAAAAAAAGGGCCUUUAUUACCUCAGCAAUUGGCUUAUGUAUGCCACUCACGGUAACUCAUGUCUUACUCGGAAAUGAUCGUAUCCGAAUUAUUGUGGUCCAGCCAGACUACGCAGUUCUAUCCACCGGGACGCGCCACUCACCGGCAGCAGUCGACGGCUGUCGUAUGAUGUGUGCGUGAAACGAUGUGCGUGAGUUCCCGGGUCGCUGACCAGAGGAGCAGAAGGGAGAAUAAGGGAGCGAAGAGAGAGAGUAUACACAUUCGUUCGGUAGAGCUAUACUAGGAUAAACGGGCCCUUUUUAGUAUUAGGAAUAGGGAAUAAAGAUUUUAUAGUAAUGUGUGUGUCGAUGCAUAUAAGUCUUGGUUGUUGUUUUAAUUGUUUUAACACCCGUGCAUCAGACACAAAACGAAUCAUAACGAAUAGUUGACUCGGAAAUGAUUGUAUCCGAAUACUAACGAAAAGAGUGUUGCACACUAUCACAAUAGAAGACAGACUGUCGGGGUAUGGGGGGAGUAGCCCAUCGACUGACCAUGGCAGUGGCUAGUUGCCAAAAAGUAUGGCACCAGCUCCGGUACAAGUACCGCUUAAUCAGGAUACGUGAGCGGUCAAUAAGACUGGAUGUCCCGUUACGCCUAUUAAGUGGCACUGCUACAGGCCGAUGAAUUUUCUGCGGGCAACCGUAGAUGCCUCGCUGGCUGACAAUGACCUAGUAUGUAUAUAAAACAGUUGAACUUCACACAGUUGAAUUAAAACACAAAUUAGAUUCGGCACGGUUUGUUUUGGGUUUGGUUGCCAAGCCCCGUCCAUUCUUGCACAUGUGAACUUUCAUGCACCUAGUGUUAACUUUCGUGCACCAGUAAUGUUAGUGUGAGCAAACUCAAAUCACUCUUGCGAAGCGCAUUUUUGUUUAGGUGACAAACGUGGUAUUACCCUUGAUGAAAUGACAGAAGAAUGCAAACGUCUACCCACUUUAAGCCAUGAUGAUGCUAUGAUAAACGCCGAUAAAACAGUCAGUGUAGUACGAGGUCAGCAAAGCUAUAGACCAUAUUCCAAAACACCAAAUAACACUAAGCAUGAGAGCAAGGCCGAGUCCUCGAUUAAGUGUUGGUUGUGCGGUGAAGGGCAUCAUGCCAGGAGAUGUCCACAUAAAAGUCACCAUUGUCGUAAAUGACGUCGGUACGGCCACAUGGACGGAUUUUGUAACUCCGCUUUAAGAUGGUCCAACGGUGGGAGGUAAAAGAGCAAAAGAACUGUUUGGAUAAACAGCAUUUCGAAUUUUAAACGUAGCCUGGUGAAUGUUAUUUUAAAUGAGAUGCCAACUCGGAUGAUGAUCGAUUCUGGUGCCGACGUAACCCUAAUAUCGAAAAAGCAUUGGUAGGAUAUGGGUAAACCGGCGAUGACACAACCUGACGUUAAAGCCAAAACAGUAUCCGGAGAUCCUCUGCACAUUUUAGGCGAGAUCCAAUGUAUGAUGAGCAUAGGGCAGCAGCCUUACGCGCUUAGUGUGUGCGACAGUUGUGUAUAUGGUACGUGUUGUGAACGCUGAUUUACUGGUGUUAGCUGCGGAUGCUAUGGAGAUUUUUGGUUUGUGGGAUGUUCCGUUAUCAUCAAUUUGUCGGCGAGUCGAUGUCGGCGAUGAGAGCAUGGGGCUCUUAGAACAUCAUAUCCGGAGUUAUUUGCUGAUAGGCUCGG